RNAcentral lists this ribosomal RNA (460 nucleotides) under uncultured bacterium. RNAcentral's name for it is "partial 16S ribosomal RNA". It matches the Rfam family "Bacterial small subunit ribosomal RNA", at positions 338 to 795 of the family's 1533-position model. The record is from RNAcentral.
CCUACGGGAGGCAGCAGUGAGGAAUAUUGGUCAAUGGCCGGAAGGCUGAACCAGCCAUGCCGCGUGAAGGUCAGUGCCCUUUGGGCGUUAAACUUCUUUUGUGCGGGAGCAAUAAUGGUCACGUGUGGCCAGACGAGAGUACCGUACGAAUAAGCAUCGGCUAACUCCGUGCCAGCAGCCGCGGUAAUACGGGGGAUGCAAGCGUUAUCCGGAUUUAUUGGGUUUAAAGGGUGCGUAGGCUGUGAGGUAAGUCAGCGGUGAAAUGCCCCCGCUCAACGGGGUGAAGUGCCAUUGAUACUGCCAUGCUGGAAUGCGGAUGCGGUGGGAGGAAUGUGUGGUGUAGCGGUGAAAUGCAUAGAUAUCACGCAGAACACCGAUUGCGAAGGCAUCUCACGAGUCCGCGAUUGACGCUGAUGCACGAAAGCGUGGGUAUCAAACAGGAUUAGAUACCCCUGUAGUC